This is a small nuclear RNA of Eptesicus fuscus (big brown bat), 108 nucleotides long. The record is from RefSeq and is a predicted model, not a curated record. NCBI's taxonomy places the organism in Eukaryota, Metazoa, Chordata, Mammalia, Chiroptera, Vespertilionidae.
GUGCUCACUUCAGCAUCAUAUAUAAUAAAAAUUGGAACAGUACAGAGAAGGUUAGCAUGGCCCCUGUGCAAGGAUGACACACAACUUUGUGAACUGCUCUGUUUCGUG